Oncorhynchus gorbuscha (pink salmon) is the source of this 558-nucleotide long non-coding RNA. RefSeq lists it as uncharacterized. The record is from RefSeq and is a predicted model, not a curated record. The transcript is spliced from 3 exons. NCBI's taxonomy places the organism in Eukaryota, Metazoa, Chordata, Actinopteri, Salmoniformes, Salmonidae.
CAACUGCCUGGGAAUGCACUCUUUUGCUGUGCUGCACAUCUGCCCUGAGUGGGAGGCACGAAGGGUAAUACUCAUACAACAGAAGUUCUUCGAGGUGGACUACGACAAGCUGAGUUCAGUCAACGUAUGGAACAAGAAAGUUCUCGAUGCUGUGGUCAAAUGGCACCCAUUUGUCCGUUUUACAUGGUUGUCUGGGCAACUGAUUCUCAGCCAUUGACCUUUGUAGGAAAUGCCACUGCUUGUGUCGUAAAUGGCACAAUAUUUGUGACCAGGGGCCACUGUGGAACCAGAGGAGGUAGCACCUAUGAAAAGAUUCAGGCCUACAAGCCAGACAUCAAUGAGUGGAUCAUUGUCACAAUAACUCCUCAUCUAGAGUAUGGCCUGUGCUCUGUUUCUCUGAACAACAAGCUGUACUUGGGAGGACAGACUAGGAUGACAUCCAGAGAGAGAUGUGUGGAGGCAGUUGUCAAUGAUGAAGGAGAGGAUGGAGUGUGGUGCUGUAGUGAUCAAUGUCUACAUUAUGUGACCGGGGGAUAUUCCUAUUCAAAGGGGACGUAU